UACGAAGGGAGCUAGCGUUGUUCGGAAUCACUGGGCGUAAAGCGCACGUAGGUGGGUAGUUAAGUUAGGGGUGAAAGCCCGAGGCUCAACCUCGGAAUCGCCUCUAAUACUGGCUAUCUAGAGUCCGAUAGAGGUGGGUGGAAUUCCUAGUGUAGAGGUGAAAUUCGUAGAUAUUAGGAAGAACACCGGUGGCGAAGGCGGCCCACUGGAUCGGUACUGACACUGAGGUGCGAAAGCGUGGGGAGCAAACAGG
RNAcentral lists this ribosomal RNA (253 nucleotides) under uncultured bacterium. Its description in RNAcentral is "partial 16S ribosomal RNA". It matches the Rfam family "Bacterial small subunit ribosomal RNA", at positions 524 to 776 of the family's 1533-position model. The record is from RNAcentral.